This 92-nucleotide transfer RNA is filed under the name Scleropages formosus (Asian bonytongue). It matches the Rfam family "tRNA". From Rfam's summary of the family: Transfer RNA (tRNA) molecules are approximately 80 nucleotides in length. Their secondary structure includes four short double-helical elements and three loops (D, anti-codon, and T loops). The record is from Rfam by way of RNAcentral. Lineage: Eukaryota; Metazoa; Chordata; Actinopteri; Osteoglossiformes; Osteoglossidae.
GGCUCCGUGGCGCAAUGGAUAGCGCAUUGGACUUCUAGUCAAACACAAGAGACGUGAUUCAAAGGUUGUGGGUUCGAGUCCCACCGGAGUCG